CACGAACCGUACGAGCGUUAUUCGGAAUCACUGGGCUUAAAGAGUCCGUAGGCGGCUUAAAAGGUGAGGUGUGAAAUCCCACGGCUCAACCGUGGAACUGCGCUUCAAACCAUUAAGCUAGAGGGAGAUAGAGGAAAGCGGAACUGAUGGUGGAGCGGUGAAAUGCGUUGAUAUCAUCAGGAACACCGGUGGCGAAAGCGGCUUUCUGGGUCUCUUCUGACGCUGAGGGACGAAAGCUCGGGGAGCGAACGGG
This 253-nucleotide unclassified non-coding RNA is filed under the name uncultured Pirellulaceae bacterium. Its description in RNAcentral is "contains 16S-23S intergenic spacer region". It matches the Rfam family "Bacterial small subunit ribosomal RNA", at positions 524 to 776 of the family's 1533-position model. The record is from RNAcentral. Lineage: Bacteria; Pseudomonadati; Planctomycetota; Planctomycetia; Pirellulales; Pirellulaceae.